CCUACGGGAGGCAGCAGUGGGGAAUAUUGCACAAUGGGGGAAACCCUGAUGCAGCGAUGCCGCGUGAGUGAAGAAGUAUUUCGGUAUGUAAAGCUCUAUUAGCAGGGAAGAAAAUGACGGUACCUGUUUAAGAAUCCCCGGCUAAUGACGUUCAAGCAGCCGCGGUAAUACGUCGGGGGCAAGCGUUAUCCGGAUUUACUGGGGGUAAAGGGAGCGUAGGCGGCAGAACAAGUCUGGAGUGAAAUGCCGGGGUUUAACCCCGGAACUGCUUUGUAAACUGUGCAGCUAGAGUGCAGGAGCGGUAAGUGGAAUGCCUGGUGUAGCGGUGAAAUGCGUAGAUAUUAGGAGGAACACCAGUGGCGAAGGCGGCUUACUAGACUAUAACUGACGUUGAGGCUCGAAAGCGUGGGGAGCAAACAGGAUUAGAUACCCCAGUAGUC
RNAcentral lists this ribosomal RNA (440 nucleotides) under uncultured bacterium. Its description in RNAcentral is "partial 16S ribosomal RNA". It matches the Rfam family "Bacterial small subunit ribosomal RNA", at positions 338 to 795 of the family's 1533-position model. The record is from RNAcentral.